Molecule: long non-coding RNA, 721 nt
Organism: Dendronephthya gigantea
Lineage: Eukaryota; Metazoa; Cnidaria; Anthozoa; Malacalcyonacea; Nephtheidae
Exons: 4
Source: RefSeq, a predicted model, not a curated record
UGUCCGUUCGAAUGUUUUUCAGGCUAUAUAAAGUGACUAAAUUCGAUCCAAAUGUCAUACUUGAUCCAGGAAGAAUCACAGGAAGAAGUCACGCCGGGGAAAAGUUUGAAGAAUCUUGCUGAGGAUGAACUUCGGCGGCGAAAGAUGAGGAAGGCGAAACACAAACGCUUGCUCGCAGCGAAUAAUAGAAAGAAUCGUCGGAGUCGAGAGAUGUUGGACCUGCCUUGGGACAUAAUGCACGCAAAUACAAAACUCGAUUUCGACGAUGUGCAUGACAGCAUGAGUAAUAUAUGCAUGAUAUUUCGCAUUUUGGCUGAGAUAUGCUGAACACUCUUCUGUUUACCUCCUUGAUUUUCAACUUUUCGGAUUGCGAUUUUUGCAUGCUAUUCUGGUCGUGUCAAGCGCAUGCGGAGUUAAUACAAGUGAUUCUGGGGCCCCAAUCACUUGUAUUUUCUCCAUCUUGAACGACAAUAGUCCGGAACAAAAAUAUCGCUCACAGAGCGCCUAAAACAUAAAAAUGCAUGAGAAUUUGUAUUUCUAGAAGGAGAUAAUAGUCGAGUGUUUUGGUUUUCUCAGAAGCAUGAAGAAAACGAUAAUUAUUUCGUACAAAACGUGCAUGACAAUUUUGUAUUCGCGUGCGCAAUGCGAAGGCCUUGGACGAGUGGCGUUGGAGAUGUCGAAGGAUCGUCGCAGGAUCAGAUGAUGAAGGAUCGUCUCAGGA